GUCGGUUCAGGGCAGGUUCCUUGAACCAUAGGGGGACCAGCAGCAGCAGGGAGAGGGUGAGUGAUGGAGGAAGGAGAAGUUGUAGGGCCUCUUCUGGGUCUGCACCAAGGGGGUCUUUAAAUGCCAAUUUGAGGAAUCAGUACUUUGAUGUGAAUGCAGGUUUAUUCUGUGUGCAUUAGGGAGCCAUGGAAGGGAGUUCCAUGAGAUGUGUGUAUUGGAAGACGUGCUUCCAUGAAAGGCUUUGCCUUCUAUUGGUUUCCCUGGCCUACCGAGGGACCCAUCUCUGUGUGUCGUCUUGUUUGUCUGCACUCACUGGAGGCUCAGUAAGGCUUUGAAGGCUGGAAAUUACACCAACAGAGAGGGCAGAUUUUGUUGCCCCGGGAGAGCGUGGGAUAUUAUUUUCAUCUGAUUUAUUUUGGAUCCCCAUGCUGAUGUGCUAACGAGCAGAAGCAGCCAGCAUCACGUGGAAGACCAGAUCUAAGCUAGCCUCAAGAGUGUACUGUAUGCACAGCACCACCAACAGCCCACGUCACCUCAAGGCCUCCUCACCAUGAGGACUGCAAGGCAGCUCCUACUUUCAUCCGCAUUUCACCUGCGAGGAAACUGAGGCCCCGGGGAACACCAGCCCGUUCUGGUUGAUGUUGAGUCUGAUCCCCGCUGCCCCAUCUGAAGUCUGUUUGCCUGACAUCGUGCGAGCGGGAGAGAACUGACUAUCAUCCCUGGCAUUGACUAGUCUUCAAAGAGUUGAUCAUUGCAUGGUGUUCUGGGACCCCCGUUUGGUGCAUAUUGGACAUAGGUUCUGCCCUCCCGAGAGAGCAGCUCAAACGGAAACAGGCAGUGGCUGACGGCGCCUUGAAGGCACAGACUCCCUCACUCUUGUGUUCCUGGUGCCCGGCACAGCGCCUGGCAGAGAGCAGGGUGCUCAGGGAUCUUCCCCUGCUCCAGCUCCCGGCUGGAGCCCCUUCCCCAGUGGCCAAUGUGCUGGGGGAAAUAGAGGCAACCCAUGUGAUGAUUCUUCAGCCUCCUAGAGGCCUCUGAGGGGUUCCUAGCUCCCAGCUGACCUCCUCCGGGAGUCUUUUGGGAGGAUUCUCGUUGACCGCUUUUUCUCCCACCUCUGAAAUUUAUUGUCCAUAAAGUGCACCUUCGUGCUCAGGUUUAUUUUAUUUUUUAAAAUCUGGGAUGAAUAAGUCUUUUUUUUUUUUUUUUUUGUCACACAACCCAGUGCUCUUUGGGACCCAAUUCUUUGCCCCUACUCUUUUUGUGGCCCAUGAUGCCAGCAUGAAGAAGGAGUUCAGUCAAGGCAGUUGGCUCUUGAUUGGCCGCCCAUCUCCUCUGAGUGCUGUUGGCUCAGUCUUUGAUGUGGUGGCUCAUCUGGGGCUCUGACAGUGGAGCAUCUGUGAGCUGCUGAGUCGGGGCUGUCCUGGCAUAAUGGGGUGAAUAGGACACAUGAAGGGGCCCUUGUCCCAGUGAGGGGAGGACACCGGGGCCUGGAUGCCUGCAGGUGGAGAGAAUGCUUGAGGGGGAAGUUGUGGAAAUGACAGAGGUCAGUAGGUUGUAUUCAGAAAGACUCUGGGAGAGGAGAGAAUGGAAGAGGUUGGAAGGACAGAGGGAGGCCUUGGCAAAGGGGGAGGGAGGGUGUCCAGACGGGACAGGCUUACGGAGGUGAGGAGGCUAGAGCACCUUUGCCUGCGGGCGGGGGCCCACGUGUGAGCCUGGCAGCUCUUCUGUCCAGGAGGGGCUGGGGCAAUCGUAAACAUUCCUCUGCACUUUGAGGAUUGGACUCCCCUCCCUCCCCAAACUGUAGGCCAGAUGGGAUCUUAUGUCUCCCUGUGAUUUCUAGGCCCAGCCUCACCUGUGUUCAGGCAACAUCGCCCGAUGCCAAGUUUGGGUCAGACCAGCUUUGCUCCAUACCCUCGAGGUCCUCCCUGGGGCUGGAGCUGCCUUUGAAGUUGAAGAGAGAAGAUUGGUGAGCUGUGUGCUGAGCCUAGAUCUCUCCACCAUCAGUGAGGCAGGGAGGCUGUCCCCUUGGAACCCUUUCUUGGGGGCCGAGGUGUUGACAUAUUAGUUGUCAGAAUGUAAGUGUUUCACCCUUGAAUGCUGCAUGAGGCUGCCCGAGUCACCGGGCAUCCCUGGGCUGCAGGGAAUCAGCAUUCACUGCACUCCUAGAGCACAACUCUAGGUGGUGCCAUUCACAUAGAAUUCAGUGCGCAUGGUGCACCCCCCUCAUGCCACUCCCCCCCCCCGCCCCAAAUUGUGUGAUGGCGGGCCACUGUCCUGCCCUUCUGGGCUCAGGGUUCUGUUUACCCGCUCAAGCUGGUCCACCUGAGGACUGGGGAUAUUCAAGGGAGGCUUUGCCCAGAGACACAGGGAUGGACAAGUUAAGUCCUCACGAGAAGUGGGCACCAGGAAACCGGAGGUUCUCCCAGAACGACAGGACCACAGAGGAGUGCGCAGUCUUAGACCAGGUAGCGGGGACAAGAAAUGACCACUUCCAUCCAUCAGGGGAAGGGAACUGCCUGAUAGCCCCGUACUGAAGAGGACCCCCAUAUGUAAGCACCCAGUGGGGCCUGGCCCCCGGUGGGCGUGAGGCGGGUCAGCAUCAGUGCCUGUCUCCAGUCUCUAGGUUUCGGGCUCUUGGGAGCGGAAGAUCUAGCCACUACUGUGACACUUGGGCGCAGGACCUUGCUGAAAUUGGAAAUGGGAUCCUGACCCAGACGGGGCUCCGGAAUUUGUUUCCUUUUGUUUUUCUCCUUCGUAAGGAAAGCUUAGUUCACUGUUUAGGAUGAAAAAUAACAACCAGAUGAACGGAGGAAGGAUCAUCAGGAAUGAUAAAUAAUAUGCUGCAGAUGUGGCUACAGAGAAGGGCCUCCAAAGGAGCACAGGGACUUUGAACAGUCACCUUGGGGGGGAGCUGCCCCCCCCCCACCGCCCCGGCCAACAGGGCCAGUGACACAAGUGCUUCUAACUCCUCCUUUGGAAUUGUCUUCAGGGUGUGUGACUCAGUUUCUUGAAUGUCCUUAUUGGUGACAGAUCUUUAGCCUUUGCUUUUGGCGGAUCAGUCAAAAAAUAAUUCGCAGUUAACAAGGGUUGUUUUGAAUAUUUUAUAGAAUAGCUAUAAAGUCCAUCUUAAAAGGAGACUUUGCAGAAGUGUUUUAAUUAAUGGAGGUACAUAUGGGAUAAGUAUAUGUCCUUCUGAGAACAACCCUUGUUUGUUCUCCUGGGUUUGACUAAAAAGCGAAUCACAGAUAUUUAUCCCGUAUUGUAGUCUAUAUAAUAAAACAACGUGUUUUGAUGUUGAAAGGCUGUAUGCUAACCACUUCCUCCUCCUGCGAUUGCAAAUUCAUGCCUCUGACGGUGUAUAAUGCAUUGGCUUUGGCCAAGGAAGGGCGGGAAGAGAGGCAUCGGGCAGACCCAAGGGAGGACUUGGUACAAUUAUUCAGGGAGAAGGUUUGGGUCCCAUCUACACCUGAAAGUUGCCUAGCUCCGCACUCCUCUCUGGACUAGCUCUGUGUUCGUUCUUCCAGAAGAUUUGGCCAACUAAGCAGAGUGUGCUUAUCCCUUUAGGGUGGGGAAGAUUAAAUUUCUUAGCUUGGUUGCCUGUCAUUCACCUGCAAAAAUCAACACUCAGCUCUAAGGGAGGGAACCUGCUGGGUUGUGAAUUAGGUAAAAAUAUAUUUUUCACAAAAAUGGAGGGGGUGAGGUCAAAAUAAAUGUACACAACAAGCCUGUUUAUAACAGUUAUUAGUUAACUUAAACGAAGACCUCUCUAGCUGGAGAAGUUUCCGGAAGUUUCCAUUGCUGGAGAAAGUCUGGGAAGAAGUGGGGGAGCACCAGAUCAGGGGGCCUGAGCACUAGUCUCAGGAAUGCUUGCCCUCCCUGAGCAGGCUUUUCUGUCCAUUCGGAGAGACCCCUUUCUCUGGGCUUGUGUUGGGUGAGCGAAGGUGGCAGUGGGUGUUAUCACCUGGGCUGGGGGCAGAGGGAGGAUGGAAUGACCUCCAGGAGCUCUAGCCAGGCAGAACGCUCAGCACUCCUUCGCUGAUAGACCAAGCUGCAAAUCAGGAAUUUAUUAGGAGCUGAGACUCAUUUUCCCACCCUUUAUAGCCCUGACGACUCAGAGCCAAACUCUGGCAAGGGGCUUCCUCAUGGUUUUAAUUAGACAAUUAAUUUUUUAUUGGGUCGUUUGAUUUCCGGAGCCGAUUCCACUCUCCCUCUUACCCCCACCUGCCUCCCAGCUGUGAACAGCCAAGGGGAGGCAGGGGGAUUCGGGGAGGGGUGCAGAAAAAAAAAAGCCUCCGUCUCCCUUUGAGCUGAUUUAGGAGUCAGUGAGUGGGGAGGGGGCCGGAAUCCCUCUGCCACCGUCAGCAGGUCUAGCUCCAGAGACACUAUCCAGAGCUCAGACCUGGGCUUGCAGGGUCUGCACAAAGGCAUUCUUAGCUGCUCCUCCCAAGCUUCUCCCAAGCUGUUGGGCUAAUUAGUAACACGGGGUGGUGGGGGAGAGGGAACAGUGCCCAAAAUACAUUAGCAGCAUUUCUGUAGUUAAUCCGGGUGGUGCUGGAGGCUGUUUACCCUCUACCCAGGGAUUAGGAAACUGUUUGAGUUAGAAGGGCAGAGAGAGGCCAGGGCUGGGCUCUGUCCCCCACCUGCUUGUAGGAGCUGGGGCGGGGGUGCUGAGCCAGCAGAAAAAAAAAGAAGUGGGAGAAAACUGUCUCCAAUCUAUCUGCCUUAUUGAUCUCCCUGGCGUCCAGCUGCUGGCCUGCUUUUGAAUCUUGAUCCUCUCCACUCCUGCUUUACCCGUCGCCACUGGCCUUGUGGUCAAAUAGGAAACUGGCUCAGAAAGGUUGGGAGGGAGGAAAGAGUGAAGGGAUGCGGGUUUUAGCGGUGGGAACGAGCCUGGGGGUGGAAACGUCUCCUAUAUGCCAUAGAUGUUCUCUUGGAGGAGGAAGGGGGAGUCCCCUCUGGAUUCCUGACCACCCCCAUACUCCACCCUGAAAGGAAAAGAAGGUUAGACUCAAGGAAGAACUUACGCACUUUCAGUAGCAGAAAUGAACAGCUCCCUCUUUAGAGUUUGAUGAUUCGGCAGAGCCGGAUAUUUUGAGCAACGUUGCUUGGAGGCCUUAAAAUGGAAUUGUGGGGAGUGAGAGGACUAUUUCCUCAGGUGUCCUGUGGGUGGGGACAUUGUCACUUGUUGUUCCAGCAUAAGGACUCCUGAAAGUGCGCGGACAAACUCAAAGAGGCCGACACAGCCACUCUGAACGAACCUGACAAACCUCUGCAGACACAGAAAUGGGCU
Mirounga angustirostris (Northern elephant seal) is the source of this 5290-nucleotide long non-coding RNA. RefSeq lists it as uncharacterized. The transcript has 5 exons. Lineage: Eukaryota; Metazoa; Chordata; Mammalia; Carnivora; Phocidae. The record is from RefSeq and is a predicted model, not a curated record.